RNAcentral lists this ribosomal RNA (566 nucleotides) under Corynebacterium sp. 127112/05. RNAcentral's name for it is "partial 16S ribosomal RNA". It matches the Rfam family "Bacterial small subunit ribosomal RNA", at positions 30 to 609 of the family's 1533-position model. The record is from RNAcentral. Lineage: Bacteria; Bacillati; Actinomycetota; Actinomycetes; Mycobacteriales; Corynebacteriaceae.
GWGAMGCUGGCGGCGUGCUUAACACAUGCAAGUCGAACGGAAAGGCYCMUGCUUGCUKGGGUGCUCGAGUGGCGAACGGGUGAGUAACACGUGGGUGAUCUGCCCUGCACUUCGGGAUAAGCCUGGGAAACUGGGUCUAAUACCGGAUAGGACUACUUCUUGGAUGUUGUGGUGGAAAGUUUUWYGGUGUGGGMKGAGCUCGCGGCCUAUCAGCUUGKUGGUGGGGUAAUGGCCUAMCAAGGCGUCGACGGGUAGCCSGCCUGAGAGGGUGUACGGCCACAUUGGGACUGAGAUACGGCCCARACUCCUACGGGAGGCAGCAGUGUGGAAUAUUGCACAAUGGGCGCAAGCCUGAUGCAGCGACSCCGCGUGGGGGAUGACGGCCUUCGGGUUGUAAACUCCUUUCGCCAAGGACSAAGCGKUUUGUGACGGUMCUUGAGAAGAAGCACCGGCUAACUACGUGCCAGCAGCCGCGGUAWWAYGUAGGGKGCGAGCGUUGYCCGGAAUUACUGGGGCGUAAAGAGCCYGUAGGKGGUUUGYCSCGUCUUUUGKGGAAUACCGGGGCC